GACGAACGCUGGCGGCGUGCCUAAUACAUGCAAGUAGAACGCUGAAGGAGGAGCUUGCUUCUCCGGAUGAGUUGCGAACGGGUGAGUAACGCGUAGGUAACCUGCCUGGUAGCGGGGGAUAACUAUUGGAAACGAUAGCUAAUACCGCAUAAGAGUAGAUGUUGCAUGACAUUUGCUUAAAAGGUGCAAUUGCAUCACUACCAGAUGGACCUGCGUUGUAUUAGCUAGUUGGUGGGGUAACGGCUUACCAAGGCGACGAUACAUAGCCGACCUGAGAGGGGGAUCGGCCACACUGGGACUGAGACACGGCCCAGACUCCUACGGGAGGCAGCAGUAGGGAAUCUUCGGCAAUGGACGGAAGUCUGACCGAGCAACGCCGCGUGAGUGAAGAAGGUUUUCGGAUCGUAAAGCUCUGUUGUAAGAGAAGAACGAGUGUGAGAGUGGAAAGUUCACACUGUGACGGUAUCUGACCAGAAAGGGACGGCUAACUACGUG
This 495-nucleotide ribosomal RNA is filed under the name uncultured bacterium. Its description in RNAcentral is "partial 16S ribosomal RNA". It matches the Rfam family "Bacterial small subunit ribosomal RNA", at positions 28 to 507 of the family's 1533-position model. The record is from RNAcentral.